This 759-nucleotide ribosomal RNA is filed under the name uncultured bacterium. Its description in RNAcentral is "bacterial LSU rRNA". It matches the Rfam family "Bacterial large subunit ribosomal RNA", at positions 192 to 952 of the family's 2925-position model. The record is from RNAcentral.
ACUGAAACAUCUAAGUACCCGGAGGAGAAGAAAACAAAAGUGAUUCCGAUAGUAGCGGCGAGCGAAAUCGGAUUAGCCCAAACCAGUAUUGUUACGGCAAUUCUGGGGUUGUAGGACUGCGUCGUUGGUCGUGUAAUGAACUAGAACGCUUUGGAAAGAGCGGCCAUAGAGGGUGAUAGCCCCGUAAAGGUAAAGAUCAUUGACCAUAGCAGUAUCCUGAGUAGUGCGGGGCACGUGUAACCCUGUAUGAAUCUGUGGGGACCAUCCCAUAAGGCUAAAUACUCCUGAGAGACCGAUAGUGAACUAGUACCGUGAGGGAAAGGUGAAAAGAACCCUGAAUAAGGGAGUGAAAUAGAACCUGAAACCAUACGCUUACAAGCGGUCGGAGCCAUUCGUGGUGACGGCGUGCCUUUUGCAUAAUGAGCCUACGAGUUACCGUUGCUAGCAAGGUUAAGUACUUAAGGUACGGAUCCGUAGCGAAAGCGAGUCUGAACAGGGCGCUUAAGUUAGUAGUGGUAGACGCGAAACCGUGUGAUCUACCCAUGGGCAGGGUGAAGCUGUGGUAACACACAGUGGAGGCCCGAACCGGUUGACGUUGAAAAGUCUUCGGAUGACCUGUGGGUAGGGGUGAAAGGCCAAUCAAACUCGGAAAUAGCUCGUACUCCCCGAAAUGCAUUUAGGUGCAGCGUCGGUUUAGUUUUAUAGAGGUAGAGCUACUGAUUGGAUGCGGGGGCUUCACCGCCUACCAAUUCCUGACAA